Long non-coding RNA from Vigna radiata var. radiata (mung bean), 878 nucleotides. RefSeq lists it as uncharacterized. The record is from RefSeq and is a predicted model, not a curated record. NCBI's taxonomy places the organism in Eukaryota, Viridiplantae, Streptophyta, Magnoliopsida, Fabales, Fabaceae. The transcript is spliced from 3 exons.
UAUAUCAAAAUUUUGUUAAGUCAAAUGAUAAGGUGUUCUUUUUUUUUAUUACCUCAAAUCAUAAUACAUGAACUACCAAUGAAAGACAAAAUACAUAAAAUAGUUACCCUUUUUUCUUGAUAAUAGAGUGAUUGAUAAAUUUGUUAUUGCACCUAUUAAUAUAUGAGUAAUAUCAUUUUACAACUUUAUCAACAAUGUAUUAUUUUCCAAGUUACAUGCACAAAUUCUAAUUUUUUUGAUUCAUUUCAAAUUGUAGCCAAUAAUGAGUCUUGUUCAGAAUCAAUCUUAAAUAGGAGAUAAUUCAUUAUCUUGAUUCAGUGGUGGUAGACAUUAGUAUGAGAUAAGAUUUGAAGAAAUUGUUUGACUUGGUUAUAUAAAUCUAUCGAACUCAAACAGAAUACACAGUUUCAAAGUCUAAGUCAAACAAUAUCAAGUGGACAUCAAUUAAGGGUUAUACAAACCUAUCGAACUCAAACAAAUACAUGGUUUGAAAGUCUAAGUCAAACAAUAUCAAGUGGGCAUCAAUUAAGGUACAUUACUAUAGUAUAUUUUAUAGGUAGUAUAAUCUUGACUCUAAUAAUUAAAUUGCUGAAUUACCUUAUGUGACCUUUAGUUUACGUUGUGGUUUCCUGCAUUAUACUGGUUAGAUGAAUAAAUUGUAUUUUUGAAUGAUUAAAGACUUAUUUUCUUAUUGCAUUGUACUGAUUAUGUGAAUAACUUGUAUUAUUGUGAAAUUGGUUGGAGGAGUAUACGGUUGUAAUAAAAACAUGACUUACUAUUAAGAGUUUAAACUUGUAUAUGAUAUAUAUAUAUAUAUAUAUAUAUAUAUAUAUAUAUAUAUANUAUAUAUAUAUAUAUAUAUAUAUAUAUAUAUAUAU